UGUUUCAUAGAGACAAUAGGGAGACGAUAGGGAUUAGAUCAAAAUAAAAUGGUAAAAACGGGAAAGAAAUAGGGUAUGUGA
RNAcentral lists this transfer RNA (81 nucleotides) under Prunus campanulata (Taiwan cherry). RNAcentral describes it as "tRNA-Cys". The record is from RNAcentral. Lineage: Eukaryota; Viridiplantae; Streptophyta; Magnoliopsida; Rosales; Rosaceae.